This is a long non-coding RNA of Symphalangus syndactylus (siamang), 402 nucleotides long. RefSeq lists it as uncharacterized. The record is from RefSeq and is a predicted model, not a curated record. Lineage: Eukaryota; Metazoa; Chordata; Mammalia; Primates; Hylobatidae.
GGGCACCUCCAGGGCUGGGGUCUCAUCGUGUUGUCCCCACUUUAUUCCAACAUCCACCCCAGGCCUGGGGGAGCCCAGGGAGGACCGAGUCUCCUGGGCCCCGCAGGGCGCACAGAGGCCUAUCCAACUGGGAUUCUGAGAUCUGACCUACCCCCAUCCUGCAAGGUCUGUCAAGAAUGAGGACCAGCUUUCCUGGGGUCCCCGCCAGCUGGGAAGAAGCCGUCUCCAAUAUGCUAUCUGCCUGGAAAGUGCCCCCGUGCUGAGCCCAGUUUUUGGUUAAACUUCUCAUGUCACGUUUUCUGACAACACCUUCCAUUGUACCAUCUGUUUCUGAACAAUUCCUGGGACAUUGCAAACUUGUUCUCCAAGAAUACCCUGGGUCUCAGUGUGUGUGACAAGGGA